This 506-nucleotide ribosomal RNA is filed under the name uncultured bacterium. RNAcentral describes it as "partial 16S ribosomal RNA". It matches the Rfam family "Bacterial small subunit ribosomal RNA", at positions 29 to 523 of the family's 1533-position model. The record is from RNAcentral.
AGUGAACGCUGGCGGUAGGCCUAACACAUGCAAGUCGAACGGCAGCACAGGAGAGCUUGCUCUCUGGGUGGCGAGUGGCGGACGGGUGAGGAAUACAUCGGAAUCUACUCUGUCGUGGGGGAUAACGUAGGGAAACUUACGCUAAUACCGCGUACGACCUACGGGUGAAAGCAGGGGACCUUCGGGCCUUGCGCGAUUGAAUGAGCCGAUGUCGGAUUAGCUAGUUGGCGGGGUAAAGGCCAACCAAGGCGACGAUCCGUAGCUGGUCAGAGAGGAUGAUCAGCCACACUGGAACUGAGACACGGUCCAGACUCCUACAGGAGGCAGCAGUGGGGAAUAUUGGACAAUGGGCGCAAGCCUGAUCCAGCCAUGCCGCGUGGGUGAAGAAGGCCUUCGGGUUGUAAAGCCCUUUUGUUGGGAAAGAAAUCCAGCUGGCUAAUACCCGGUUGGGAUGACGGUACCCAAAGAAUAAGCACCGGCUAACUUCGUGCCAGCAGCCGCCGUAA